GCCGCCCUCCGUCCGGGGGGUGGCCAGCGCCCGCCAGAGGACCAUCGAACUCCGGUCAGUGAACGUUGCCGUCUGAAAAACAAUCAAUAAACUAAAACUUUCAACAACGGAUCUCUUGGUUCUGGCAUCGAUGAAGAACGCAGCGAAAUGCGAUAAGUAAUGUGAAUUGCAGAAUUCAGUGAAUCAUCGAAUCUUUGAACGCACAUUGCGCCCCUCGGUAUUCCGAGGGGCAUGCCUGUUCGAGCGUCAUUACAACCCUCAAGCUCUGCUUGGUGUUGGGCACCGCCCUUCCGCGGGCGCGCCUCAAAGACCUCGGCGGUGGCGUCUUGCCUCGAGCGUAGUAGAAAACACCUCGCUUUGGAGCGCACGGCGCCGCCCGCCGGACGAACCUUUUGAACUUUCUCAAGGUUGACCUCG
Molecule: ribosomal RNA, 417 nt
Filed under: Neoscytalidium dimidiatum
Lineage: Eukaryota; Fungi; Ascomycota; Dothideomycetes; Botryosphaeriales; Botryosphaeriaceae
Description: eukaryotic LSU rRNA
Rfam family: 5.8S ribosomal RNA (bases 96-249)
Source: RNAcentral